UCCCUCCCCUGCUCGGAUUACCAUUCCAAACUUCGGAGGGAAACCGCCGUCAAAACCCCACCAAAACCUUUCUCCGAUCAAACCACCCCCAAAAUUUCUUCAAAAAAUGCGCCGCCGGAGCCUAAUCAUCGCCCCCGACUCCGACGAGGAAGACGACGCGGCAACUCCUGCCUCCGCCACCACCUCUCUUUCCGUUGCCAGCGGCGGCGGCGGCGGCGGCGGAAGCGCCGGCCGGCCCUCGUCCCAAAACCCUAGCCCAUUCCCCUACGCAAUCUCGUCCUCGCCUCCCCCCUCCCCUCCCGUCGAGAUCUCCGAUGACGACGAGGAGGUCGAGGAGAUCCAGGACCCCGACGAGGACUGCCCCUUCGACGACGCCCCCGACGAGAUUCGGGACUCUGACGGGGACUCCCUCUUCACCGAUGUCGCCGACGACCUCUCCCCACCAUUCACCGCUCCGCCCCAAAUCCCAUGCCCACCUCCCGCUCCCGCUCUGGCACCGGCUCCGCUGUACCGAACCCCAACACCAACUCCACCUCCAGCACGAACCCCAAUCUCAGCUCCAUCGCCGGCUGCCGCGCCCACGCCACCUUCACGAACCCCAACCCCAACUCCCCCGCCGGCUCCUCUGUUCCGAACCCCAACCCCAACUCCACCACCGGCUCCCACAUCCGCUCCUCUGCUCCGAACCCCAACCCCACCUCCCGCUCCUCUAUUCCGAACUCCAACACCAACUCCACCUCCCGCCCCCGCACCCACUCCACCGGCCCGAACCCCAACGCCAACGCCACCGCCCGCUGCCGCCGCGCCCACUCCGGCCCGAACCCCAUCUUCAACCCCAAUCCAGGCCUGGACCCCAACCUCGACGCCGCCCACGGCCUCGCCGUCUGCGCUCAGCAUGCGGCUGCGGCCGGUGGACGCGUUCCUGCGGCGGCUCAGGGUGCGCGUGCGCCCAGAGUGGCUUGAAUUUUGCGCUGCGGAGCUGCCUGGGUUCAGCGACGGCGGCACGGAAGCGCAGGGCAGACGCUGCUUCGAGCAGUUCCUCUUUGCUGACAUGAAUGUGUGCGGCGCCGGUGUGCUCCCGGCGGGCGUUGCAGGCAUGGACGCCGCUGUCCUCGACGGGCCAUUUGUUCUACAGGUUGAUGAAAUUGUCAACAUGUCAAAUCCUUUGAGGGAAAGAUAUUGUGAUGCACAGGCGGGGCCCAAAAGAUGUUUAAAGCUAUCAAUGACAGAUGGCAUUCAACGGAUAUAUGGAAUGGAGUACAGGCCUAUCAAAGACCUGCAAGUUCUUGCUCCUGUUGGUUUUAAGAUUGUUAUAAGAAAUGUGCACAUAAAGAGAGGGCUUCUUAUGCUAGUCCCUGAAGUUAUUGAGAUUCUUGGUGGGGUGGUUGAUGAAUUGGAAGCAGCACGUGUCAGACUUGUUUCUGAAGUAAAUAAACCACCCCGUGGCAAAAGGAAGCAAGGUGGAUUACCUUUGUCCUCCAGAGCCACUGUAGCUGCCUGGCCAGGUAAUGUAAGCGUUACAAAUGGUGGUGAGCAAGGUAUCUCAAUACCAAGAGCAGUAAACUCCUCUCAUCCAAUUGGAUUAGGUAAUGCCUCUCAAGUUGUUAGAACUACAGAAACCAUGGUAGAAGAGCGUAUUAACCCUCCUGUCAUAGUAAAUGGUGUCCAACAGCAAAGUCAGCAUUCCCACGAAUUCACCAUGCAAGAUCGAUCUGCUUCUCAAGUUGUUAGAACUACACAUACCAUGGUAGAAGGGCGUACUAACCCUCCUGUUGUAGUAAAUGGUGUCCAACAACAAAGUCAACAUUCCCAAGAGUUCACCAUGCAAGAUCGAUCUGCUUCUCAUACUAGGGACAACGCAGAAGCUUCUGCACCUGCUACCUAUAGAUAUGAACCCCAACAAAGCACUAGCAGAACUACACGGACGGUUGAAGAAUAUGUUGACCACCCUAUUGCGGCGAACAAUGUCCAUCAACAAACACAGCGUGUCCAGGAAAUCACUAUGCAGGACCAAGCUACUAGGAACCAAGGAGAACCUUCUGCAUCUACUCCUUGUGGACAUGAUACCCAGCAAGGGCCACGAGAUAUUGGUGGAACUAGUGCUAAUGGUGUCGAGAUUGCACAGUCUUCAACUGUUGAAGAUAAGAUUAAUCAGAUUGAACAUCCUGUCAUUCUAAGUGGUGAAAAUGAAAAACCAUUUACAUACCUUUUCCACAUGAUGUCAGAUUGGACCAUAGAAAAGGAUACACGACCCUAUAUUCAAGGAAAAAUUAAGGGUCUGAUCACCGCAGUCAAGCGAUUUCAAUAUAAGCAACGGAAAGAGUAUGAGCUUCAAAUUUGGAUAGAUGAUGGAAGUCACAUUUCAGAGGCCUUUCUUCACAGUGAUGUUAUACAGAAUAUAAUUGGUCACUCGUGUGAGGAGAUGAAUGCUGCUGUUUCUGACCCAAACCCAGCAUCAGCCCUUGCCAUAAAAGAAAUUAUGAAUGGAUUCAAGCACUAUUUGACAAAAUUUGAGGGUACAAUGUUUAUUGAGUUCAACCGAAAAUCUUCUGCACCUAUUGUGCGUGAGAUGAAUGAAGGUUGUUCGGCUUCCGAUGCAUGGCUCCUACUUCAGAGGAUGAAAACAUAUUCUGCUCAAAGGCACAUCCGAAGUUUGGACUUUAUGGAUACCACUCCAUGAUGCAUGGCCAAUGCAAAGCUGCAUCAUCGUGGUUUUGAUAUUCCAGACCAAGUACAUAUGUGAAAUUAUUCAGCUCAAGGCUUAAGAAGCAUUCAGUUCCUCCUUUGUAGGACUCAUGCCAUGGGCAGGCACGAUACAGUUAGAUGAUGCAACAUCAUACUACAACACAGUAGAGUGGACAGCACAACGGGCCACUCCUAGCGGCUCCCAGGUCCAGCCAAAGAUUCCAGCUACCUGAUUUCACCCGGCCCUGAUCUCUGGUGUCUCUGGUGUCUGCAGUGACGCCGGCUGGGUGAACCAGCGCACACCUGGCAUGUCGAGGAUCGUUUUGCCCAGUGUGUCGGUCGUCGCAGGGCCAACAGAAUCCACGGUCAGGAGCCGGGAGUUCCAGGCCAGGAUAUCCGGGAAGAAGACCCUGAACAUGUACACUGCCAGGUACCACCUCGGCUCGAACACGUACCUUGCUCCCCGGCACACAUCCCUCACCACUCUCUUGGCGAAAAGGGCUACCGGUUCCGCUGGUGUUGGCCCGAGGACUGCCUGCGAUCACAAUUAGCUACGUCAACAAGAUGAAAUGAUAGUGCUACCAUGAAUCUACGGUGUGACAAUUGUGUACAUCUCUUUGGUCUUGGUCAACUUUCAUCUUUCCCUCCUUGGUGAGCAUUUUCCCCUUUGUGAUCUCUGAUUCGACCACCCCGGGGAUAAUCUCUGUUAUGUGGACAUCCCCGCCAAGCUCCAUUCGGAGCGUGUCGUAGAAAUUCAGCACUGCUGCUUUGCUAGCCUGCCAUUCAUAAACCAGUCAUUUGCAUUGGAAACAUGUUCACAUGUACUUUUGCAUCUGAUCCAGAAUUUUAGGUGGUGUUUAACUAUUAAUGCUAGCUAGCAUGGAUAAGGGAUUUGAGUACCGACAUUGUAGAAGCUGUUCCUUCCAAUGAAUAUGUAGGAGGAGUUGGAGGUGACACCGACGAUCCGGCCAUGGGUCCUCUUCAAGUGAGGAAUGGCAUGGCGAGUUGGGUACACAUGGCCCCAGAAGUUGAUGUCCUACAUGCAACAUAAAUGAGAUGACUGAUUUUGGCCUAAAUUUGUGUGAAGAACUGAAAACGGCUUGUAGUUGCAUACCAUCAGUGUUCUGAAGUUGUUUACGUCCUCCACCUCUUCGAACCUGCAGACCUGCCAAAUCGACGCGUUGUUCACCAGGUGGUCCACUGCAAACAUAAAUAGAUCGGGUGAUCUUAUUGCACGGUUGACAAUCUUGGCAUAGUCCACCAAAAAUGUCAAUGAUAAUUGAACUACGUAUGGUUCAGUUAGCCGCAUAUUGUACCUCCAUAGAUGUCCAGUGGUUCGUCUAAAUUUGGAUGUAUCUAUACCUAAAAAAUGUCUAGAUACAUUUGAAUUUAGACAAAUUUUUGACAUCUAAAAAUGGACAGAUGUAGUAUAACUUAUGUGUGUCAUUCACGAAAACUCACUUUGUAGCUACUUCAAAAUAUGAUUUUCAAAUUUUCCAUGAAAAUGCUGCACUUGUGUCAUUCAGCUCAGACUUACAUCUUCCAAAGUAGGCAACUGUGUCGUUGACGAACUUUUGGCAGUCAUCAGGCUUGGAGACAUCUGCCGGCAAGACGAGGACGCCCGGCGCUCCGAGCGCCGAUGCGUUGUCGGCGACCUCCCCUAGGCUCGCCUCCCUUCUCGCCACCAGCGCGAGAGCCAGAGAUGUAUACCUCGCCUAUCCCGGAGGAGGCGCCGGUGAUGAGGACGACCUUGCCGGAGACGUCCUCGGGGAAGACAGAGCUGAGGAGGGAGGUGGUGAGCUUGUAAACGUAGUAGGCCGGGAGGAAGAGCACGAGCGGCGCGGCGAGCGCCACCUCCAUAGCCAGUCCACCGAGCUUGCUCAUCAGCAUCGUCGUCGGCGCCCUAGCUUGCAGAUUGACACUGCUGAAGUAUGCUCUGGACCUGCGCAGAGCGGUGCCUAUAUGCUGGCAUGAGUUUUCAGCGGCGCAUGAGACGCGUGGAAAGACCUUAACGCAUGCGGAUGGCCAUCUCAGCUGCUACGUGCCUGUGCAGCAGCCCCGGCCGAUUUUUUGGCACCUGUUUUGCACCACUGAUCGCCACAUCAGUCCGUAAGCCAAUUCCAAUUCCGUAACCAAUCCAUCCGUAA
Molecule: RNA transcript, 4832 nt
Organism: Lolium perenne
Lineage: Eukaryota; Viridiplantae; Streptophyta; Magnoliopsida; Poales; Poaceae
Gene name: recQ-mediated genome instability protein 1
Source: RefSeq, a predicted model, not a curated record